Molecule: ribosomal RNA, 736 nt
Filed under: uncultured bacterium
Lineage: Bacteria
Description: bacterial SSU rRNA
Rfam family: Bacterial small subunit ribosomal RNA
Source: RNAcentral
GGCCUAACACAUGCAAGUCGAGCGGAUGAGGGAAGCUUGCUUCCUGAUUUAGCGGCGGACGGGUGAGUAAUGCCUAGGAAUCUGCCUGUUAGUGGGGGAUAACGUUCCGAAAGGAACGCUAAUACCGCAUACGUCCUACGGGAGAAAGUGGGGGAUCUUCGGACCUCACGCUAACAGAUGAGCCUAGGUCGGAUUAGCUAGUAGGUGAGGUAAUGGCUCACCUAGGCUACGAUCCGUAACUGGUCUGAGAGGAUGAUCAGUCACACUGGAACUGAGACACGGUCCAGACUCCUACGGGAGGCAGCAGUGGGGAAUAUUGGACAAUGGGCGAAAGCCUGAUCCAGCCAUGCCGCGUGUGUGAAGAAGGUCUUCGGAUUGUAAAGCACUUUAAGUUGGGAGGAAGGUCUGUAAGUUAAUACCUUGCAGUCUUGACGUUACCAACAGAAUAAGCACCGGCUAACUCUGUGCCAGCAGCCGCGGUAAUACAGAGGGUGCAAGCGUUAAUCGGAAUUACUGGGCGUAAAGCGCGCGUAGGUGGUUUGGUAAGUUGAAUGUGAAAGCCCCGGGCUCAACCUGGGAACUGCAUCCAAAACUGCCUGACUAGAGUACGGUAGAGGGUGGUGGAAUUUCCUGUGUAGCGGUGAAAUGCGUAGAUAUAGGAAGGAACACCAGUGGCGAAGGCGACCACCUGGACUGAUACUGACACUGAGUGCGAAAGCGUGGGGAGCAAACAGGA